AUCCAACUGACGAGUCUCCCAAAUAGAACAAAACACGAGUCCUGGAU
RNAcentral lists this non-coding RNA (47 nucleotides) under Schistosoma margrebowiei. The record is from RNAcentral. Lineage: Eukaryota; Metazoa; Platyhelminthes; Trematoda; Strigeidida; Schistosomatidae.